This is a long non-coding RNA of Cyprinus carpio (common carp), 483 nucleotides long. The record is from Ensembl. NCBI's taxonomy places the organism in Eukaryota, Metazoa, Chordata, Actinopteri, Cypriniformes, Cyprinidae.
UAUUCAGUUGUAUUAGCCCAAUAUUGACUUGGUGAAAAGUGCAUCGAUGUGAUUGAGUUGUGAUGUAUGACAAUUGAUGACAAAUGAUCGUGAUCCAUGUGAAGUGUUUCUCCUCGUGUCAAAAACACGAUUUGUUGACUAAUCAUAAAGCAGGGGAGAAAGAAAAGUGCUUUAUAGGCCAUCUGUGAGAUCCAAAUUGUGUUCAUCAGUACAGAAGAGUCUAAAGUCCACUACCGUUGUUUUUUUUGUUAUCCUAAAAAAGCCACAUUUAUGUAUUUUUGCUUUGUUUUUGUGCUUUUGCAAAAUUCAUAGAUUUAACAGGGGAAGCUAAUUCCAUUUUUUUUUGUCUUUUACAUUUAUUUUUGUCCUGCUCUGGUUUCUAAAACAUUUUCAACCCCAAAAAGCCAAAGCUAUUGUUAAUGCUGUGUCCCUAUGGUCACAGUCGGAAAUAAAAGACCCUUAAUUUAAGUUUGCCUGUGUUUU